Long non-coding RNA from Monodelphis domestica (gray short-tailed opossum), 434 nucleotides. RefSeq lists it as uncharacterized. The record is from RefSeq and is a predicted model, not a curated record. NCBI's taxonomy places the organism in Eukaryota, Metazoa, Chordata, Mammalia, Didelphimorphia, Didelphidae.
UCUGGGAAAACAGGUGCAUUUUGAACUGGGGGCAACCAAAUACAGACCUGAACAAAACAGAGCCUGGAGAAGAUGCCUUCCAGACCCCCUGAGGGAGACAGAAUCUUUAAUGAAGGACCAGAGGAAGUUAUCCAUUGCAGAAGUUCUGAUUAAAGAUGAAGAAGAUAAAGUCAACUGUGUUUUCUGGUAAGCUGAACUCAAGUCCACAAAAGCAGUAAGAGGAAAAUUUACUUCCUAUUAUAAGAGGGAGACUCCCCACCGAAAUUCAAUUAACAACUGGAUGAAAAAAUUCAAGGAAACCGGCUCAUUUCACAACAAACUGACAUCUAUGAGAUGCCAAAACAGACUCUAGCUGAAGUUAGCUAGAAGUAUGUGUUGCACAAGAUGGUGGUGAUGCUGAAUUUUAAUAGCAUUUAAAAUUUUUAAAUAAUUAA